GUCCACGCCCUAAACGAUGCACACUAGAUCGGUGCGGGUUUCACCCCGUAUUGGUCGUAGAGAAAUUGAUAAGUGUGCCGCCUGGGGAGUACGGUCGCAAGGCUAAAACUCAAAGAAAUUGACGGGGGCUCACACAAGCGGUGGAGCAUGUUGCUUAAUUCGAAGCAACGCGAAGAACCUUACCUGGGUUUGACAUGCACGGAUUAGUUCCUGGAAACAGGAAUGAGGCCCGCAAGGGGUACAACGUGCACAGGUGCUGCAUGGCUGUCGU
This 271-nucleotide ribosomal RNA is filed under the name uncultured bacterium. Its description in RNAcentral is "partial 16S ribosomal RNA". It matches the Rfam family "Bacterial small subunit ribosomal RNA", at positions 793 to 1055 of the family's 1533-position model. The record is from RNAcentral.